CACUUCCUGACCUUUGUUUCUGAUACAUUCUUUGAGAGGACAUCUCCACCUACCCCGUCACCUGGAUUGGAUCACCAGCCUCUCCCAAGAUGGGCCUGGCUUCCUCCUUGCUGGGGAAAGGCCCUAGGACCAAGCUUCUGAAGAACUGCACAUGGGAAAUACCAACCAAUUUAACUUCUUCAGAGACAACCUUGAACCCUGCUCACAACCAUGGCUAGCUACAAAAGGGGUCAUCUGCCAGGGAUGAUCCCAGAGGAAGAGUGGGAAUUCACCCUCCCCUUAGUGUGAAGUGCUUUCUCUGCCCUUUAUUUAUGAACUGAGAAAAAUUCUAACAAACCUACUGUGAAAUAAAGAUGGUCUUAACCCAUUUAUGCCUAGUGUUCCAUUAUUGGAACACUAAGCUUGUGAGAGUUAUUUAUAUCCUACUGCUCAAAACCAUUGCCAAACUUUUAUU
Molecule: long non-coding RNA, 454 nt
Filed under: Callithrix jacchus (white-tufted-ear marmoset)
Lineage: Eukaryota; Metazoa; Chordata; Mammalia; Primates; Cebidae
Description: lncRNA (ENSCJAG00000084455.1)
Source: RNAcentral